Non-coding RNA from Hydra vulgaris (swiftwater hydra), 1409 nucleotides. The record is from RefSeq and is a predicted model, not a curated record. Lineage: Eukaryota; Metazoa; Cnidaria; Hydrozoa; Anthoathecata; Hydridae.
UUUCUAUAACGCUAAAUGAUAUAUAUCAUUUCUAAAAAGGUGAGAAGUGUUAAUAUAUCUCGUUUGUGCUUGUUCACCUAAUUGCACGGGAAACGGAGUUUUCAUAGAUGUUUAAAAGUAUUUAUACAUCUAUAAAAAAACCGUUAAUCUAAAAAAAAAUAAAGAUGAUGAUGAUGAUGACGAUGAUGUGUGAUAUUUAUUGAAUUAAAAUGAACUUUUGCCCUUAAUUGGUUUGUUUUUCUGAAAUAGACAUUUAAUACAUUAAAGUAAUUAUGAUAUAAUGUAAGAAUUACAACCGUUAAAAUACGAUACAUAUUUACUACGUAAUAUUAUUUAUUCAUUGAACAAUUAUUAAUUAUAACAUAUAUAAAAUACUCAUGGUUUUUAGUAUUAUUUUUCUAUUUUAUUUGGUGGCUUAUGUAAUAGCUUUUAUUCCAUAUAAUGGUAAGAUUCUGAUUGUAUUAAAGUAAUUCUGUAUCAACUCAGGUUCAACCAUAAAUAAUUAUUUAUUUUUAAUUUUGCACAAAUGAAGCUAAGAAAGAAAUUCUUCUGGAGAAAUUUGAUUCACUAUAUUAACAAUUUUUUUGGACAAAAUGCCAGCUGGGUAAGUAAUCAAAAUUAAUAAUAAAUAAAGUAUAUGAAAACAAUCGUUUUUCUAAGGAAAUUUUUACAUCAUUUUUAGUUCUUAAAAAACUUUUACAUCAUUUUUAGUGAACUUCUUUAAAAAAUUAUAAAAAGUUUUUAAAUCUGUCUUAAAAGGAUGAUUAAACUUACAUUUCUCGUUUAGAGAGGUAAUUUGGGUCACAAUAAAAAUUAAUACAUUAGCCCAUACAAUGCUCACCUGAUUAAAUUGUAAAUAAAACAAACUACAAGUCUUUAGGUGCUGCAGCAAUCGUGAUCUAAUUAUCAAGGAAAUUUUCUUGCAGGUUUGAAGAUUGACAUAAAUGCUGCAACACCUCGAAUCAUGUGGAAUUAAUAAUUUUUUUCUAAUUAGACGUCAACAAUUGCUUCAUUAGAAAUUUUCCAGAGCUCGCUUCGAACCCUAGAUGUCUUGCUUCUAAAGAAAGCGUUCUAACCACUGUGCCACGGCUGCAUUUUUGUAGUGGAUUUGCAGUGAACCUAUUUAGGCUUUUUGAACGGUUCAUUAGAAUAUUGCUGAUCGGUUACUUAUUGGAUCAUUAUUUGCUUCAGCUAUAAGUGGCCAGCCGAUAAAUCUAAUGCACUAAAAAUAUUGAAAAAAGAAAAAAAGAUAAGAAAAUUAAUAAAAAAUAUACAAAUAUUCAUUUCUCCUAAAUAUAUUUGGUCCCACAAAUUUUUUGUGCAAAUGUUUAUUUCUAUAUUUUUAAUUAGAAACUUAAAUUUCAGAUAUGAAAUACUUCAAAUUUAUAAAUAUAUGAUUAAAAAAAAUA